Solanum dulcamara is the source of this 1939-nucleotide RNA transcript. It is a transcript of the gene named tubulin alpha-3 chain-like, with no coding region annotated. The transcript is spliced from 8 exons. The record is from RefSeq and is a predicted model, not a curated record. NCBI's taxonomy places the organism in Eukaryota, Viridiplantae, Streptophyta, Magnoliopsida, Solanales, Solanaceae.
AUGCCUCCUAAUCGUACAACUAGUCAGAGGAACGCUGCCAGCACUGAGGUUCCACAGUCAGAGAUGCCUUCACCGAGAACUAGGAACCGACCUCAAGGUCUACUGAAGUACCCCAAAUACUACUGUUCAGAUCACUCCUACUUUGAAGGUGGAAUUCAGAGGAGCUAUUGUCAUGCUCACUCAACUGGUAGCUUCCCAGAUGGGAAAUUCGAAGAUAUCCUAGUAUCAAACACAAUGAAGUGUUCGAGAAUGAAGAUUAUUGCUUCAUCAGAAUAUCUUUAUUCUGUUUAUGAGUCAGUGUUGAAGAGCAAGAACAUUACAGACAUGCACCCAUACUGUUCUGAUUACUACAAGCCAGAGGCGUUGGCAAUUACUUAUGAAUUUCCAAUGGUUCCAAUGCCAGAUAAGAAAGAUUGUUCUAUUCUGAAAGAAAUUUUGGAAGAAUUCUUUACUCAAUUUAUAAGUUUGUUGAAAACUGUUUUAUCAAUUCACAGUGGGCAGGUCAGAAAUGCAUGCUGGGAGCUUUAUUGCCUUGAACAUGGCAUUCAGCCUGAUGGCCAGAUGCCGGGUGACAAGACUGUUGGAGGAGGUGAUGAUGCAUUUAACACCUUCUUUAGUGAAACUGGAGCUGGAAAGCAUGUUCCCCGUGCUGUUUUUGUAGAUCUUGAGCCUACUGUCAUUGAUGAAGUCAGGACAGGAACAUACAGACAGCUAUUUCACCCUGAGCAACUCAUUAGUGGCAAAGAAGAUGCAGCCAACAACUUUGCCUGUGGCCAUUAUACAAUUGGGAAAGAAAUAGUUGAUCUUUGUUUGGACCGCAUUAGGAAGCUUUCAGAUAACUGUACUGGCCUAAAAGUUUCCUGGUAUUUAACGCUGUUGGUGGUGGCACUGGUUCUGGUCUUGGGUCACUUUUACUGGAGGGUCUCUCAGUUGACUAUGGCAAGAAAUCAAAACUAGGAUUCACAAUUUAUCCCUCACCACAGGUCUCAACAUCUGUUGUGGAGCCUUACAACAGUGUACUUUCAACUCAUUCCCUGCUUGAGCACACUGAGUUGCAAUUCUUCUCGACAAUGAGGCCAUUUAUGACAUUUGCCGGCGCUCAUUGGACAUUGAGCGCCCCAAGUACACCAACCUUAACCGCCUUAUUUCACAGGUCAUUUCUUCUCUGACUGCUUCUUUGAGGUUUGAUGGAGCCCUGAAUGUUGACGUGAAUGAGUUCCAAACAAAUCUCGUUCCCUAUCCCAGAAUCCAUUUUAUGCUUUCUUCCUAUGCUCCAGUCAUUUCAGCUGAGAAGGCUUAUCAUGAGCAGCUCUCAGUUGCAGAGAUCACAAAUAGCGCAUUUGAACCCUCUUCUAUGAUGGUUAAGUGUGACCCUUGCCAUGGCAAGUACAUGGCCUGCUGCCUCAUGUUCCGUGGUGAUGUUGUGCCAAAGGAUGUCAAUGCUGCUGUGGCCACCAUCAAGACCAAUCGUACUAUCCAAUUUGUUGACUGGUGCCCUACUGGAUUCAAGUGUGGUAUCAACUACCAACCACCUACUGUUGUUCCUGGAGGCGACCUUGCCAAGGUGCAAAGGGCUGUGUGCAUGAUCUCUAACUCAACUAGUGUUGCAGAGGUCUUUUCUCGCAUUGACCACAAGUUUGAUCUGAUGUACGCCAAACGUGCUUUUGUGCACUGGUACGUUGCUGAGGGUAUGGAAGAAGGUGAGUUCAGUGAAGCCCGUGAGGACCUUGCUGCUCUUGAAAAGGAUUAUGAGGAGGUUGGUGCUCAAAUGGACGAUGAAGAAGGCGGUGAUGAAGGAGACGAGUACUGAGUGAAGACAUUGUGGUGUGUUUGUUAUUGAUGAAUAUCUAUUGCACUCCUAGCAAUUAAUAUUACUUGUUGUGGUCUUCUGAACUGAAAUGUGCUGUUAUGCAAGUCAAAAUAUGUUCGUUUGACUGUU